GACGAACGCUGGCGGCGUGCUUAACACAUGCCAGUCGAACGCUGAAGCUUGGUGCUUGCCCUGGGUGGAUGAGUGGCGAACGGGUGAGUAAUAAGUGAGUAACCUGCCCUUGACUCUGGGAUAAGCCUGGGAAACUGGGUCUAAUACUGGAUACGACAUGUCACCGCAUGGUGGUGUGUGGAAAGGGUUUUACUGGUUUUGGAUGGGCUCACGGCCUAUCAGCUUGUUGGUGGGGUAAUGGCUCACCAAGGCGACGACGGGUAGCCGGCCUGAGAGGGUGACCGGCCACACUGGGACUGAGACACGGCCCAGACUCCUACGGGAGGCAGCAGUGGGGAAUAUUGCACAAUGGGCGGAAGCCUGAUGCAGCGACGCCGCGUGAGGGAUGACGGCCUUCGGGUUGUAAACCUCUUUCAGCACGGAAGAAGCGAAAGUGACGGUACGUGCAGAAGAAGCGCCGGCUAACUACGUG
This 472-nucleotide ribosomal RNA is filed under the name uncultured bacterium. RNAcentral's name for it is "partial 16S ribosomal RNA". It matches the Rfam family "Bacterial small subunit ribosomal RNA", at positions 28 to 507 of the family's 1533-position model. The record is from RNAcentral.